UUNUGGUAAAAGAAUAGCUAAUGGUUGC
This 28-nucleotide non-coding RNA is filed under the name Mus musculus (house mouse). The record is from RNAcentral. Lineage: Eukaryota; Metazoa; Chordata; Mammalia; Rodentia; Muridae.